AACGUCUCAGUUCGGACUGUGGUCUGCAACUCGACCACACGAAGCUGGAAUCGCUAGUAAUCGCGAAUCAGCAUGUCGCGGUGAAUACGUUCCCGGGUCUUGUACACACCGCCCGUCACACCAUGGGAGUCAGCAACGCCCGAAGUCAGUGACCUAACCGAGAGGAAGGAGCUGCCGAAGGCGGGGCAGGUAACUGGGGUGAAGUCGUAACAAGGUAGC
RNAcentral lists this ribosomal RNA (219 nucleotides) under uncultured bacterium. RNAcentral describes it as "partial 16S ribosomal RNA". It matches the Rfam family "Bacterial small subunit ribosomal RNA", at positions 1282 to 1500 of the family's 1533-position model. The record is from RNAcentral.